RNAcentral lists this transfer RNA (77 nucleotides) under Eubacteriales bacterium. Its description in RNAcentral is "tRNA-Val". It matches the Rfam family "tRNA". Rfam says of the family: Transfer RNA (tRNA) molecules are approximately 80 nucleotides in length. Their secondary structure includes four short double-helical elements and three loops (D, anti-codon, and T loops). Further hydrogen bonds mediate the characteristic L-shaped molecular structure. tRNAs have two regions of fundamental functional importance: the anti-codon, which is responsible for specific mRNA codon recognition, and the 3' end, to which the tRNAs corresponding amino acid is attached (by aminoacyl-tRNA synthetases). tRNAs cope with the degeneracy of the genetic code in two manners: having more than one tRNA (with a specific anti-codon) for a particular amino acid; and 'wobble' base-pairing, i.e. permitting non-standard base-pairing at the 3rd anti-codon position. The record is from RNAcentral. Lineage: Bacteria; Bacillati; Bacillota; Clostridia; Eubacteriales.
GCGCGGUUAGCUCAGCUGGCUAGAGCACAUGCUUGACGUGCAUGGGGUCACAGGUUCAAGUCCUGUACCGCGCACCA